Molecule: ribosomal RNA, 497 nt
Filed under: uncultured bacterium
Lineage: Bacteria
Description: partial 16S ribosomal RNA
Rfam family: Bacterial small subunit ribosomal RNA
Source: RNAcentral
GAUGAACGCUGGCGGCGUGCCUAAUACAUGCAAGUAGAACGCUGAAGGAAGGAGCUUGCUCUUUCCGGAUGAGUUGCGAACGGGUGAGUAACGCGUAGGUAACCUGCCUGGUAGCGGGGGAUAACUAUUGGAAACGAUAGCUAAUACCGCAUAACAGUAGAUGUUGCAUGAUAUCUACUUAAAAGGUGCAAUUGCACCACUACCAGAUGGACCUGCGUUGUAUUAGCUAGUUGGUGAGGUAACGGCUCACCAAGGCGACGAUACAUAGCCGACCUGAGAGGGUGAUCGGCCACACUGGGACUGAGACACGGCCCAGACUCCUACGGGAGGCAGCAGUAGGGAAUCUUCGGCAAUGGACGGAAGUCUGACCGAGCAACGCCGCGUGAGUGAAGAAGGUUUUCGGAUCGUAAAGAUCUGUUGUAAGAGAAGAACGAGUGUGAGAGUGGGAAGUUCACACUGUGACGGUAUCUUACCAGAAAGGGACGGCUAACUACGUG